CGAAGAAAUGGCCCUUAGAAAGUAACUCUACAAAGAUCUUGAGAAAGAUAUGGGAUUAAAAUCGUCCAUGAAAUUGGUAGACUUCCUACACUUUCCCUAAGGAUUCCGUUCCAAUCAGGACACACAAUUUGCUACAGAUUCUUUUGAAAACUUAUAAGAACCCUACUUACUUGAAAAUGAUCGUUGAUGGUACUGACAUGGCCAAACCACAUGACAAAUGGAGAAACAGCACUAAAAGCAAUUACGGAAAUCCAUGACUUUAGACUUUAGUGUUCCUAGAUUCUCGCUAUCAUAUUGUUAUUGUGUUAAAGGUUCACCCAGUGUGUCGUCUUGAAAUAAUGCACAUAUUCCUUGCAUUAGUAAGGUGUUGUAUUGUUAAAAUAAAUAAAUAAAUAAAAAAAGGCAAAUUCAUUGCUCUUUAAGUUUGUCAUGUACUAUAAAAGCAGAUUCUUGGGCCUUGUGUAUGCAUUUUAAAAUAUCAUUUGAAUAAAAUGACUCUCGCCUGAAUAUAAAGGGUUUCAUUUUGCAAGUAUCAUUUAGUGUAUGAAUAAUAAAAAAUUAAGAAUGUUCUCCCUCAUGAAUUUCUUUUUGUCUUUCCUCAAGUUUCUAAAGUAGAAUAGAUAUGGUGAGAUAAAGGUUUAAUUGUAGUACAAAUUAGAACACUCUUAUUUGCCUUUGUAAAGAAUCCUCUGUACCAUACUAAACUGGUGUCCAAUAGAUCCAACCUGACAGAGCUAUAAUUGUAAAAGUUCAGGGCUACAUUGUAUACAUGGGUUGUAACUUCUUGUGGGCUAAAUUAUGAUGGCUAUGGCUGACUCCCAGCUUUGUGAUUAUAUAGUAUGACCUAAUUGUCAUUUUAGACAGCAAUUGAAAGGGGUUCUCUAGAGCCUAAAAGAACUUUUGGAGGUCCAAAGUGCUC
This 919-nucleotide long non-coding RNA is filed under the name Olea europaea subsp. europaea. Lineage: Eukaryota; Viridiplantae; Streptophyta; Magnoliopsida; Lamiales; Oleaceae. The record is from RNAcentral.